RNAcentral lists this long non-coding RNA (1455 nucleotides) under Betta splendens (Siamese fighting fish). RNAcentral describes it as "lncRNA (ENSBSLG00000021987.1)". Lineage: Eukaryota; Metazoa; Chordata; Actinopteri; Anabantiformes; Osphronemidae. The record is from RNAcentral.
GUGUCGGAGCUUCGGCAGCACCUGCGCAUGCGAGGCAUGCCGGUUUCCGGCACCAAGACCGCCCUGAUCGAGCGACUUCGGCCCUUCAGGGACUCCAACGCGGGCUCUUCGCCCUCCGGUUGCUCCGACAUCACCACAGUGACCUUCCCCGUCACGCCGACAAGGUCCCUGUCCUCCUACCAGUCGCCGUCCUCCUCCAGCGCCCUGUCCCAAGGAGGCUACUACCCCUACCCCAGCACCUCCUCCACCCCUCCCGUCUCCCCGGCCUCCUCCGAGCUGUCCCUCAGCGGCUCGCUCGCCGACAGCUUCAGCGAGGUGCCCAUGUCGUCGCCGACGCACUUCGCCCUGCAGCCGUCGCCGGCGCAGCUCGGCAUGGACGACGGCCUGGGAGGAGGCGGCAUGGCGGGAGCGGGCCAGAGGCCGGGGGAGGGGGGAGGCAUGGACGGCCUCGAGGCCGAAAAGGAUAAGAUGCUGGUGGAGAAGCAGAAGGUGAUCGAGGAGCUGAUGUGGAAGCUGCACCAGGAGCAGAGACAGGUGGGUGUUGGCCGGCGGAGGACAAAGCUGCUUCACGCAUGAAAGGUGGUGUUUUAACAACUCAUGACUUAGCAGGUUGAAGAGCUGAAGAUGCAGCUCCACAAGAGAAAGCGCUGCUACGGUGCGACGCAGGAAGGCCCGCCUCCUCCGCCUCACCCCUCCAUGCACGCCCAGCAGGCUCCCUCCGCCAUGGGCCACCACUUCUUCGGGGUGACCAUCAAGCAGGAGCCCAUGUCCUUGUCCUCCAGCUGCCCGCUGUCGUCCGCCAAGCAGCUAAAGACUCCUCCCGGCGGCUGCAUGGAGGACAUGCGACACUGCACCGCGGGGGGUCCCGGGGGACCGCAGUGCAUGGACACGGCCCCUUCCUCCGCCAGCCCCUCCGCCAUGUCUGCCUUUUUGAGUCCCCAGUGCUCGCCGCAGGACUCUCCCAAUGUGAAGCCUCCCAGCAGCCCCCGGCCGUCGUCUCCCAGCAACCCCUACCUGCUGUCGCCGCCGCUGGGGAGGGACGGCUGCGGACACCCCCACACACAGGACAGCAACAGGGCACAUACUAUGCAGAUCCAGCAGAAGGGCAGUGGGCAGCCGGUGAACUGCUCCUACCCCCCAGAACAACGAGGCCUUCAGGGAGUUUUUCCCAACCCGGCCGAGUGUGGCCUCAACCACGGCGCCUCAACCAAAGCCGAGACCCAGGUCGUGCAGCCCAAGAUGUCAGUAAUACCCUCUCCUCGGCAUGUUGGCCAAAAGUGCCAGGUCUCCCCCCCCGCCUUCCGUAGCUCAGAUUCAGAUGCAUCUGACUUAAGACAGCCCCCAUGCUAUGAGGAUGCAGUGAAGCAGGUAAACUCAUCCGUAGAGAACGGCUGGCCGGACGUUUUAACCGUCCACCUCUCCUCCCGCCUCCGCACCCCUUCCAUUCAUCAAUGA